AGUGAACGCUGGCGGUAGGCCUAACACAUGCAAGUCGAACGGCAGCACAGUAAGAGCUUGCUCUUACGGGUGGCGAGUGGCGGACGGGUGAGGAAUACAUCGGAAUCUACUUUUUCGUGGGGGAUAACGUAGGGAAACUUACGCUAAUACCGCAUACGACCUACGGGUGAAAGCAGGGGAUCUUCGGACCUUGCGCGAUUGAAUGCGCCGAUGUCGGAUUAGCUAGUUGGCGGGGUAAAGGCCCACCAAGGCGAGGAUCCGUAGCUGGUCUGAGAGGAUGAUCAGCCACACUGGAACUGGGACACGGUCCAGACUCCUACGGGAGGCAGCAGUGGGGAAUAUUGGACAAUGGGCGCAAGCCUGAUCCAGCCAUACCGCGUGGGUGAAGAAGGCCUUCGGGUUGUAAAGCCCUUUUGUUGGGAAAGAAAAGCAGCAGGUUAAUACCCCGCUGUUCUGACGGUACCCAAAGAAUAAGCACCGGCUAACUUCGUG
RNAcentral lists this ribosomal RNA (492 nucleotides) under uncultured bacterium. Its description in RNAcentral is "partial 16S ribosomal RNA". It matches the Rfam family "Bacterial small subunit ribosomal RNA", at positions 29 to 507 of the family's 1533-position model. The record is from RNAcentral.